AGUGAACGCUGGCGGUAGGCCUAACACAUGCAAGUCGAACGGCAGCACAGUAAGAGCUUGCUCUUACGGGUGGCGAGUGGCGGACGGGUGAGGAAUACAUCGGAAUCUACUUUUUCGUGGGGGAUAACGUAGGGAAACUUACGCUAAUACCGCAUACGACCUACGGGUGAAAGCAGGGGAUCUUCGGACCUUGCGCGGUUGAAUGAGCCGAUGUCGGAUUAGCUAGUUGGCGGGGUAAAGGCCCACCAAGGCGACGAUCCGUAGCUGGUCUGAGAGGAUGAUCAGCCACACUGGAACUGAGACACGGUCCAGACUCCUACGGGAGGCAGCAGUGGGGAAUAUUGGACAAUGGGCGCAAGCCUGAUCCAGCCAUACCGCGUGGGUGAAGAAGGCCUUCGGGUUGUAAAGCCCUUUUGUUGGGAAAGAAAAGCAGCAGGUUAAUACCCCGCUGUUCUGACGGUACCCAAAGAAUAAGCACCGGCUAACUUCGU
This 491-nucleotide ribosomal RNA is filed under the name uncultured bacterium. Its description in RNAcentral is "partial 16S ribosomal RNA". It matches the Rfam family "Bacterial small subunit ribosomal RNA", at positions 29 to 506 of the family's 1533-position model. The record is from RNAcentral.